AGAGUACGUGAAACCGUUCAGGGGUAAACCUGAGAAACCCGAAAGGUCGAAAGGGGAGAUUCAGCGUGUCUCGAUUGCGGCGCUGGACGGUCGUGCGACGGAAGACGUACGCGUCAUCCGCACCUUCCGUUCUCCGAACCGUAGUCGAACGCGUGCACUUCUCCCCCUGUAGGACGUCGCGAUCCGUUGGGUGUCGGCCUAAGGCCCGCAAUGGAGCCCGUCCGGACGGUCCGCCGUUCCGGACGAACUUGCGGUGUUUCCCGGUCGGCUCGCUCGACGGUAUACAGAUGGCGCGGGGCCGCUACACGUUAGUUAGCGUCCGACCGGCGGCAAGCGCGCUCGUCGUGACGGUGAUCGGACCUGGUGCCGGUCCUGUCCCCGAGUGGCUGUUCGCUGCCGUGUUCUCGGACAGACCUCGUCGAAACGCCGAUCUGCGACGCUAUAGCUUUGGGUAC
RNAcentral lists this ribosomal RNA (455 nucleotides) under Philolithus elatus. RNAcentral's name for it is "eukaryotic LSU rRNA". The record is from RNAcentral. Lineage: Eukaryota; Metazoa; Arthropoda; Insecta; Coleoptera; Tenebrionidae.